GAUCAUGGCUCGAGGAUGAACGCUAGCUACAGGCUUAACACAUGCAAGUCGGAGGGGCAGCAUGGUCUUAGCUUGCUAAGGCCGAUGGCGACCGGCGCACGGGGUGAGUAAACGCGUAUCCAACCUGCCUUACACUCUUGGACAGCCUUCUGAAAGGGAGAUUAAUACAAGAUGUUAUCAUGAGUAAGCAUUUUCACAUGAUUAAAGGUUUACCGGUGUAAGAUGGGGAUGCG
This 233-nucleotide ribosomal RNA is filed under the name uncultured bacterium. RNAcentral's name for it is "partial 16S ribosomal RNA". It matches the Rfam family "Bacterial small subunit ribosomal RNA", at positions 15 to 235 of the family's 1533-position model. The record is from RNAcentral.